UGAGGAAUAUUGGGCAAUGGGCGAGAGCCUGACCCAGCCAUGCCGCGUGCAGGAAGACGGUCCUAUGGAUUGUAAACUGCUUUUAUACGGGAAGAAACACUCCGACGCGUCGGAGCUUGACGGUACCGUAAGAAUAAGGAUCGGCUAACUCCGUGCCAGCAGCCGCGGUAAUACGGAGGAUCCAAGCGUUAUCCGGAAUCAUUGGGUUUAAAGGGUCCGUAGGCGGGUCUAUAAGUCAGUGGUGAAAUCCGGCAGCUCAACUGUCGAACUGCCAUUGAUACUGUAGGUCUUGAAUUUUUGUGAAGUAGCUAGAAUAUGUAGUGUAGCGGUGAAAUGCUUAGAUAUUACAUGGAAUACCGAUUGCGAAGGCAGGUUACUAACAAAACAUUGACGCUGAGGG
This 400-nucleotide ribosomal RNA is filed under the name uncultured bacterium. RNAcentral describes it as "bacterial SSU rRNA". It matches the Rfam family "Bacterial small subunit ribosomal RNA", at positions 355 to 752 of the family's 1533-position model. The record is from RNAcentral.